CAUGAAAUUCAUGAAAUGCGUGCUCAAUGUAUGUUGUAUGAUUAGUAAGGAAUGGAAAUGAGUAAGCUAUGUUUAUGAUCAUGUUGAAAGGGUACAGGUAUGUACUAAAAAUUCAUGAAGGAUGAGCUCGAUGUAUAUUGGACUUUUGGUAAGAAUGUAAAUGAGUAAGUAAUACCUAUGAGAAUGGCUUUGUGACGACCUUGUAAAUAUUAGGUCGAUACCUAUGGUGUAUAAUUAUGUGGUAAAUUUAAUGGAUGAUUAUGUGUGAGGCUUUUAGUCGAAUUAAAUUGGGACAUGAUAUGUUUAUCCC
This 310-nucleotide long non-coding RNA is filed under the name Gossypium barbadense (sea-island cotton). Its description in RNAcentral is "long non-coding RNA (GBAR_LNC011375)". The record is from RNAcentral. Lineage: Eukaryota; Viridiplantae; Streptophyta; Magnoliopsida; Malvales; Malvaceae.